UACGUAGGUGGCAAGCGUUGUCCGGAUUUACUGGGCGUAAAGAGCGCGCAGGCGGCUCGUCAAGUCUGGCGUGAAAGCCCCCGGCUCAACCGGGGAGGGUCGUCGGAGACUGGCGAGCUUGAGGGCGGUAGGGGCUGGUGGAAUUCCCGGUGUAGUGGUGAAAUGCGUAGAGAUCGGGAGGAACACCGGUGGCGAAGGCGGGUCUCUGGGCAGUAACUGACGCUGAGGAGCGAAAGCGUGGGGAGCGAACAGG
RNAcentral lists this ribosomal RNA (253 nucleotides) under uncultured bacterium. Its description in RNAcentral is "partial 16S ribosomal RNA". It matches the Rfam family "Bacterial small subunit ribosomal RNA", at positions 524 to 776 of the family's 1533-position model. The record is from RNAcentral.